UACGGAGGGUGCAAGCGUUAAUCGGAAUUACUGGGCGUAAAGCGUACGUAGGCGGUUUUGUAAGUUGGGUGUGAAAGCCCCGGGCUUAACCUGGGAACUGCAUCCAAAACUGCAAGGCUAGAGUGUGGAAGAGGAAGGUGGAAUUUCCUGUGUAGCGGUGAAAUGCGUAGAUAUAGGAAGGAACAUCAGUGGCGAAGGCGACCUUCUGGUCCAACACUGACGCUGAGGUACGAAAGCGUGGGUAGCAAACAGG
RNAcentral lists this ribosomal RNA (253 nucleotides) under uncultured bacterium. RNAcentral's name for it is "partial 16S ribosomal RNA". It matches the Rfam family "Bacterial small subunit ribosomal RNA", at positions 524 to 776 of the family's 1533-position model. The record is from RNAcentral.